RNAcentral lists this ribosomal RNA (406 nucleotides) under uncultured bacterium. Its description in RNAcentral is "bacterial SSU rRNA". It matches the Rfam family "Bacterial small subunit ribosomal RNA", at positions 355 to 776 of the family's 1533-position model. The record is from RNAcentral.
UGGGGAAUCUUGCACAAUGGGCGAAAGCCUGAUGCAGCGACGCCGCGUGAGCGAAGAAGGCCUUUGGGCCGUAAAGCUCUGUCGGGAGGGAAGAAGAAAAGGACGGUACCUCCCAAGGAAGCCCCGGCUAACUACGUGCCAGCAGCCGCGGUAACACGUAGGGGGCGAGCGUUAUCCGGAAUUAUUGGGCGUAAAGGGUACGUAGGCGGCCUUUUAAGCGCGGGGUCUAAGGCGGUGGCCCAACCACCGUUCGCCCCGUGAACUGGAGGGCUUGAGUGUCGGAGAGGAAAGCGGAAUUCCUAGUGUAGCGGUGAAAUGCGUAGAUAUUAGGAGGAACACCAGUGGCGAAGGCGGCUUUCUGGACGAAAACUGACGCUGAGGUACGAAAGCGUGGGGAGCGAACAGG